AUACAAUCCUGACACGGCUGUACGAAGCUUUGGCUCGUCCUCAGCUUAAAGCUUUUGGUUGGUGUGUGUGGCUUUCAGCUGUUUAGGGGUUGUUUUGUUUACGCAAGUCGUCCUCUAUCGUUCCUUUUCUAACCGACAGUGCCCUGCGCCUUUCGCCGUGCUCUAUCCAUCCCUGUCUCGCACCGCUCUGCUCUAUUGAUGCGCCGUUGUUGGCGCCCGCAGGAGUGUGUGUUUUGUUGUACCACAAGCGAGUUCGUCUUGGCCCCGAUUGUAGCAGAACACACGUCCAUGCUCCAGCGCCACCAGCCAUCCGCUGCAAAUAUGUGUACACAAAAUAAUAAAAUUGCAACACAUCAAAUAUUAAAAUUAAGUGGUUAAACAAACCGAGCAGUGGAUUUGCCUAACCUCACAGCCUUGCCACCAUGCACGGAUAAAUAAUUACAAGUGAAACAACGCAAAGGCGUCGACAUUCGAUUGAGGACAGACUGCGAGAUGCGAGGACGGUAAGAGAGUGCUCCGCCCUAUUUUGAGGCUUGUUGCAGGAGGCUUGACACACAAAGCGGAGUGUUCAGGGCAGAAGAGAGAGAGAGGG
Long non-coding RNA from Drosophila subobscura, 592 nucleotides. RefSeq lists it as uncharacterized. The record is from RefSeq and is a predicted model, not a curated record. The transcript is spliced from 3 exons. Lineage: Eukaryota; Metazoa; Arthropoda; Insecta; Diptera; Drosophilidae.